UGCCAGCAGCCGCGGUAAUACGGAGGGGGCUAGCGUUGUUCGGAAUUGCUGGGCGUAAAGCGCACGUAGGCGGACUUUUAAGUCAGGGGUGAAAUCCCGGAGCUCAACUCCGGAAUUGCCUUUGAUACUGGAAGUCUUGAGUCCGAGAGAGGUGAGUGGAACUCCGAGUGUAGAGGUGAAGUUCGUAGAUAUUCGGAAGAACACCAGUGGCGAAGGCGGCUCACUGGCUCGAUACUGACGCUGAGGUGCGAAAGUGUGGGGAGCAAACAGGAUUAGAUA
This 279-nucleotide ribosomal RNA is filed under the name uncultured bacterium. Its description in RNAcentral is "partial 16S ribosomal RNA". It matches the Rfam family "Bacterial small subunit ribosomal RNA", at positions 506 to 784 of the family's 1533-position model. The record is from RNAcentral.